CUUUGUGGAAACACCGGUUCUAGUAUAACUACGGAAGUUAAGCAAUGUAGAACCUGGCUAGUUCCUAGAUAGGUGACCACUUGGGAAUACCAGGUGCUGUAAG
Non-coding RNA from Acanthosepion pharaonis, 103 nucleotides. The record is from the annotation of a GenBank genome assembly. NCBI's taxonomy places the organism in Eukaryota, Metazoa, Mollusca, Cephalopoda, Sepiida, Sepiidae.